CUCCGUCCUGUACCUCCUAAGUCUGACUGACGUUAACCCCGUUUGCUUAAGGUGUCGUCCCGGUCACUAGCGCUGUUAAACCUCAAACCGGCCGUUUUUGGGAUUACCGCCCCGUUAGACAAUCCUUUUCCUUUUACCGAGGGAUUGCCCAGUGAAAAUUGGAAUGAUACCUCAUACAUUCUUGAAUGACAUCACUUGAUUAUUAUAGUUCCCACGGUAAACACGACUAUGCGUCCCCUUAGCUAGAUGGCAAGGUAACGGCUUUCCUUGGCUUAGAUGGGUAGCGGCCCUGAGACGGAGUUCCCCCACAUUGAUCCUGAGACGCGGCCCAGGGCUCCUGCGGGAGGCAACCUGAUGAAUAUUGGACAAUGGGCGCAAGCCUGAUCCAGCCAUGCCGCGUGCAGGAGAGAAGGUCCUAUGGAUUGCAAACGGGCUUUAUGACAGAAGAAACACCUCUACGUGUACAGACUUGACGGUACUGUAUGAUUAAGGACACGGCUUAACUUCCGUGCCAGCAGCGGCGGUAAUACGGAGGGUGCCAACGCGUUAUCCGGAAUCAUUGUGUUUACAAGGGUCCAGUAGGCGGCCAAAUAAGCAGUGGUGAAAAGACCCUUCGCUCCAGCGAUGGAUCGGCCUUGAUACUGUUUGGCUUGAUCAUUGGAAAGAAAGUGAAUAUGUAUGUGUAGCGUUGAAACCUUAGGAGAUUACAUGCAUACAAUGCGAGUAGUCACUGGUAUAUUGACGCAUGUAUGUCAAGAAACAUGAGCAACGACAGGAUUCAGUCCCCAGUAUUCUCGUCGUAUUAAAGACACUCCCCAUACAACUUGAGUUAAAUAUUAUAAGUCACUACUUCGAGUAUUCCU
This 863-nucleotide ribosomal RNA is filed under the name uncultured bacterium. RNAcentral's name for it is "bacterial SSU rRNA". It matches the Rfam family "Bacterial small subunit ribosomal RNA", at positions 72 to 885 of the family's 1533-position model. The record is from RNAcentral.